This 500-nucleotide ribosomal RNA is filed under the name Poecilosclerida sp. 11 JV-2020. Its description in RNAcentral is "partial large subunit ribosomal RNA". The record is from RNAcentral. Lineage: Eukaryota; Metazoa; Porifera; Demospongiae; Poecilosclerida.
AAGAACUUUGAAAAGAGAGUCAAAAAGACCGCGAAACCGUUAGGAGGGAAACGAAUGCUGCUGAAGUGGCUCCCCGGCAGGCUCAGGAGAGGUCGGCGGGUCCGGCGACCGGAGCGGUUGCGUCUUUGCCGCUCGGCCGUCCGGCGCUCGGCGACCGAUCUGCACUUCUGCGGGGAGCCGGCCAACGGCAGUCGCUCCCGGCCCAGGAGGGCGUCGUGGGAAGGUGGUCCCGCGUUCGCGCGGGGAGCUUACAGCCCGGCGCCUGGACGUUCCGGGGUUUGCGACUGAGGAGAGUCUUGCGAGUCCCUUUCGCACGAGCAGCGCAGGCCGUCCCCCCGGGGGUGGCUGGGCCGCUCUCGCUCGGCGUGCGGCCGCGGCGGUCACUGCUUGCAGUGGGUCUUUGCCGACGGUCUCGCGUGUCGGGAGGGAGGCCGGUCGCACCUUGCGCUGCGGUCGUUGGUGUCCGAAUGGCCGCAUCCGACCCGUCUUGAAACACGGAA